GGUAGCUCAGCUGGAUAGAAACGAUCUUCUAAGCCGUCGGUCGGGAGUUCGAAUCUCUCCCG
This 62-nucleotide transfer RNA is filed under the name Bacillus safensis. Its description in RNAcentral is "tRNA-Arg". The record is from RNAcentral. Lineage: Bacteria; Bacillati; Bacillota; Bacilli; Caryophanales; Bacillaceae.